This 392-nucleotide ribosomal RNA is filed under the name uncultured bacterium. RNAcentral's name for it is "partial 16S ribosomal RNA". It matches the Rfam family "Bacterial small subunit ribosomal RNA", at positions 523 to 918 of the family's 1533-position model. The record is from RNAcentral.
AUACGGAGGAUCCGAGCGUUAUCCGGAUUUAUUGGGUUUAAAGGGUGCGCAGGCGGCCAUUUAAGUCAGCGGUUAAAUCGUGGGGCUCAACCCCAUUCUGCCGUUGAUACUGGGUGGCUUGAUUGCGGUCGAGGUUGGCGGAAUUCGUUGUGUAGCGGUAAAAUGCAUAGAUAUGACGAAGAACACCGAUUGCGUAGGCAGCUGACCAGACCGCAAAUGACGCUCAUGCACGAAAGUGCGGGGAUCGAACAGGAUUAGAUACCCUGGUAGUCCGCACAGUAAACGAUGAAUACUUGUUUUCGGCGAUAUAAUGUCGGAGGCAAAGCGAAAGCGAUAAGUAUUCCACCUGGGGAGUACGCCGGCAACGGUGAAACUCAAAUGAAUUGGCGGGG